UUUCUCCUGGGAAACGGGUGGUAAUGCCGGAUGCUCCAGUUGAUCGCAUGGUCUUCUGGGAAAGCUUUCGCGGUAUGGGAUGGGGUCGCGUCCUAUCAGCUUGACGGCGGGGUAACGGCCCACCGUGGCUUCGACGGGUAGCCGGCCUGAGAGGGCGACCGGCCACAUUGGGACUGAGAUACGGCCCAGACUCCUACGGGAGGCAGCAGUGGGGAAUAUUGCACAAUGGGCGCAAGCCUGAUGCAGCGACGCCGCGUGAGGGAUGGAGGCCUUCGGGUUGUAAACCUCUUUUAUCGGGGAGCAAGCGAGAGUGAGUUUACCCGUUGAAUAAGCACCGGCUAACUACGUGCCAGCAGCCGCGGUAAUACGUAGGGUGCAAGCGUUAUCCGGAAUUAUUGGGCGUAAAGGGCUCGUAGGCGGUUCGUCGCGUCCGGUGUGAAAGUCCAUCGCUUAACGGUGGAUCCGCGCCGGGUACGGGCGGGCUUGAGUGCGGUAGGGGAGACUGGAAUUCCCGGUGUAACGGUGGAAUGUGUAGAUAUCGGGAAAGAACACCCAA
Molecule: ribosomal RNA, 556 nt
Filed under: Bifidobacterium longum subsp. suillum
Lineage: Bacteria; Bacillati; Actinomycetota; Actinomycetes; Bifidobacteriales; Bifidobacteriaceae
Description: bacterial SSU rRNA
Rfam family: Bacterial small subunit ribosomal RNA
Source: RNAcentral